UGAGGUGUAGCUCAGGGGUAGAGUGCAAGCCUAGCAAGUGUGAGACCCUGGGUUAAAACCCAGCACCUUAA
Molecule: non-coding RNA, 71 nt
Organism: Heterocephalus glaber (naked mole-rat)
Lineage: Eukaryota; Metazoa; Chordata; Mammalia; Rodentia; Bathyergidae
Source: Rfam